AUAAUACCGGAUAUCGUGGGGCCCUGCAUAGGGCCUUGACAAAAGAUUUAUCGGCAGGGGAUGAGCUUGCGUCCGAUUAGCUAGUUGGCGGGGCAACGGCCCACCAAGGCGACGAUCGGUAGCCGGCCUGAGAGGGUGAUCGGCCACAUUGGGACUGAGAUACGGCCCAGACUCCUACGGGAGGCAGCAGUAGGGAAUAUUGCACAAUGGGGGAAACCCUGAUGCAGCAACGCCACGUGUGGGAAGAAGCAUUUCGGUGUGUAAACCACUGUCGUGAGGGAAUAAGGCUAUUUUUCGGAGUAGUUGAAUGUACCUCGAGAGGAAGCACCGGCGAACUUCGUGCCAGCAGCCGCGGUAAUACGAGGGGUGCAAGCGUUGUUCGGAAUCACUGGGCGUAAAGGGAGCGCAGGCGGAAGCUCAAGCGGAUUGUACAAUACCGGGGCCCAACCCCGGACCUGCAGUCCGAACUGGGUUUCUUGGAUAGUUCAGGGGCAAGCGGAAUUCCUGGUGUAGCGGUGGAAUGCGUAGAGAUCAGGAAGAACACCGAUGGCGAAGGCAGCUUGCUGGGGACUUAUCGACGCUCAUGCUCGAAAGUGCGGGUAGCAAACAGGAUUAGAUACCCUGGUAGUCCGCACCGUAAGCAAUGCAUACUGGGUGUCCGGGGGUU
Molecule: ribosomal RNA, 667 nt
Filed under: uncultured Fibrobacter sp.
Lineage: Bacteria; Pseudomonadati; Fibrobacterota; Fibrobacteria; Fibrobacterales; Fibrobacteraceae
Description: bacterial SSU rRNA
Rfam family: Bacterial small subunit ribosomal RNA
Source: RNAcentral